This 532-nucleotide ribosomal RNA is filed under the name uncultured bacterium. Its description in RNAcentral is "bacterial SSU rRNA". It matches the Rfam family "Bacterial small subunit ribosomal RNA", at positions 337 to 863 of the family's 1533-position model. The record is from RNAcentral.
UCCUACGGGAGGCAGCAGUGAGGAAUAUUGGACAAUGGAGGCAACUCUGAUCCAGCCAUGCCGCGUGCAGGAAGACUGCCCUACGGGUUGUAAACUGCUUUUAUACAGGAAGAAACCUAUCUACGUGUAAGUAGCUGACGGUACUGUACGAAUAAGGAUCGGCUAACUCCGUGCCAGCAGCCGCGGUAAUACGGAGGAUCCAAGCGUUAUCCGGAAUCAUUGGGUUUAAAGGGUCCGCAGGCGGUUUAUUAAGUCAGAGGUGAAAGCCUACCGCUCAACGAUAGAACUGCCUUUGAUACUGAUAGGCUUGAGUUAUUGUGAAGUAGUUAGAAUGUGUAGUGUAGCGGUGAAAUGCAUAGAUAUUACACAGAAUACCGAUUGCGAAGGCAGAUUACUAACAAUAUACUGACGCUGAGGGACGAAAGCGUGGGUAGCGAACAGGAUUAGAUACCCUGGUAGUCCACGCCGUAAACGAUGGUCACUAGCUGUUCGACUAACAAUGGUUAGUUGAGUGGCUAAGCGAAAGUGAUAA